Molecule: non-coding RNA, 229 nt
Organism: Camellia sinensis
Lineage: Eukaryota; Viridiplantae; Streptophyta; Magnoliopsida; Ericales; Theaceae
Source: RefSeq, a predicted model, not a curated record
AAAACAAAGUACUUCUUGGCUGAGGCAAUGCAUGCUUUUGAUGCUGCAUCCGAGAAGGAACUGAGUUUGACAGUUGGUGAUUAUGUUGUUGUGAGCCUAUCGGGAUGGUCAGAAGGAGAAUGCAGAGGUAAAGCAGGCUGGUUUCCAUCAGAACAUGUGGAGAAACGCCUGAGGAUUCCCACCAGUAGUGCAUCUGCUGAAGUUUUUUGAGCUGUGUGGGUACUUGAUU